This 609-nucleotide ribosomal RNA is filed under the name Triticum aestivum (bread wheat). RNAcentral describes it as "partial small subunit ribosomal RNA". Lineage: Eukaryota; Viridiplantae; Streptophyta; Magnoliopsida; Poales; Poaceae. The record is from RNAcentral.
AUGGAAUCAAUUGAGAAGGCUGUUGGCCCCUUGUCGAGGAUGAAGCCGACGAACUCAACAUAUCGAUUUGGUACGAUUCCGCUAGCAACCCAACUCUCUCGCUUCAAAAACUUCUCAGCCAUCCGUUCUGAAGCUCCCGGGAACAAGCGGAAGCUAACUCUGGCGCAGAUGAACGUGCUCGGCGCUUUUCACAUGCAAUGUGGAGCUGCUGGACGACGGCAACCUCCUCUAUCUAAUUCAGCUCAGAUAAACAAAUCAACUAUGGAAGAAAGCCUAGAACUAGGAAAUAAUGGUAACACAGAAGGUGAUGAGAUUACCUGCUGGACCGUUCAGAUCGACACCCAACAUUACCCAGAAAAGAAUGAGCAAGUGUACAUCUUGAAGCCAGAGGUACGACAAACUACAAGAUACCCACCACCAUCAACAAUUGGUGAUGAGAGCAGUGUACCGCAACAUGGACCUAUGCAUAAACGACGACACCACACAAGCAUGCUGGAACCAAUCAUAGAGAUGAGUGAGGUAGAAAAUGGAGCUAAUAAUGGCACGGACACUGGCUACAUUGAAAGCUGGACUAAAGUUGUUGAUCAACAAACCUUAGAUCAAGACUAG